RNAcentral lists this long non-coding RNA (249 nucleotides) under Homo sapiens (human). Its description in RNAcentral is "HSALNT0143468". The record is from RNAcentral. Lineage: Eukaryota; Metazoa; Chordata; Mammalia; Primates; Hominidae.
UGCCAACCUCUGACACAUCAAUCAAACUCAAUGGCCUAUAAUCUUCCCCAUUUGCAGAACUUUCUAUCACUUAUAAGCACGAUAGUAACAUUAUCUCAUCUGAUAUUACAAGCACAUUUGUGUUAUGAUUUUCAACAUCCUCAAUUUACAGGAAGAGACUCAUUCUGGUGUAGUCAUGCCCCAUUGAACAGAGCCAAACCUGGAUAUAAUUAUUUCCUCUGAAGUGAAAGAGGCCUAAUAUGGAAGAAG